This 253-nucleotide ribosomal RNA is filed under the name uncultured bacterium. RNAcentral's name for it is "partial 16S ribosomal RNA". It matches the Rfam family "Bacterial small subunit ribosomal RNA", at positions 524 to 776 of the family's 1533-position model. The record is from RNAcentral.
UACGUAGGGGGCAAGCGUUGUCCGGAAUCAUUGGGCGUAAAGCGCGCGUAGGCGGCCCGGUAAGUCCGCUGUGAAAACUCGAGGCUCAACCUCGAGACGUCGGCGGAAACCAUCUGGCUAGAGUCCGGAAGAGGAGAGUGGAAUUCCUGGUGUAGCGGUGAAAUGCGUAGAGAUCAGGAAGAACACCCGUGGCGCAAGCGACCACCUGGCCGAGACCUGACGCUGAGGCGCGAGAGCGUGGGGAGCGAACCGG